This 28-nucleotide non-coding RNA is filed under the name Rattus norvegicus (Norway rat). The record is from RNAcentral. Lineage: Eukaryota; Metazoa; Chordata; Mammalia; Rodentia; Muridae.
UUUUAGUUAAAAUUGAUGCAGUGCAAAU